RNAcentral lists this ribosomal RNA (549 nucleotides) under uncultured bacterium. RNAcentral's name for it is "bacterial SSU rRNA". It matches the Rfam family "Bacterial small subunit ribosomal RNA", at positions 355 to 896 of the family's 1533-position model. The record is from RNAcentral.
UGGGGAAUAUUGGACAAUGGGCGAAAGCCUGAUCCAGCCAUGCCGCGUGUGUGAAGAAGGCUUUUUGGUUGUAAAGCACUUUAAGUGGGGAGGAAAAGCUUAUGGUUAAUACCCAUAAGCCCUGACGUUACCCACAGAAUAAGCACCGGCUAACUCUGUGCCAGCAGCCGCGGUAAUACAGAGGGUGCAAGCGUUAAUCGGAAUUACUGGGCGUAAAGCGCGCGUAGGUGGUUAUUUAAGUCAGAUGUGAAAGCCCCGGGCUUAACCUGGGAACUGCAUCUGAUACUGGAUAACUAGAGUAGGUGAGAGGGGAGUAGAAUUCCAGGUGUAGCGGUGAAAUGCGUAGAGAUCUGGAGGAAUACCGAUGGCGAAGGCAGCUCCCUGGCAUCAUACUGACACUGAGGUGCGAAAGCGUGGGUAGCAAACAGGAUUAGAUACCCUGGUAGUCCACGCCGUAAACGAUGUCUACCAGUCGUUGGGUCUUUUAAAGACUUAGUGACGCAGUUAACGCAAUAAGUAGACCGCCUGGGGAGUACGGCCGCAAGGUUA